Molecule: ribosomal RNA, 468 nt
Filed under: uncultured bacterium
Lineage: Bacteria
Description: partial 16S ribosomal RNA
Rfam family: Bacterial small subunit ribosomal RNA
Source: RNAcentral
GACGAACGCUGGCGGCGUGCUUAACACAUGCAAGUCGAACGGAAAGGCACUGCUUUUGUGGGGUGCUCGAGUGGCGAACGGGUGAGUAACACGUGAGUAACCUGCCCUUGACUUUGGGAUAACUUCAGGAAACUGGGGCUAAUACCGGAUAGGAGCUCCUGCUGCAUGGUGGGGGUUGGAAAGUUUCGGCGGGUGGGGAUGGACUCGCGGCUUAUCAGCUUGUUGGUGGGGGAGUGGCUUACCAAGGCUUUGACGGGUAGCCGGCCUGAGAGGGUGACCGGCCACAUUGGGACUGCGAUACGGCCCAGACUCCUACGGGAGGCAGCAGUGGGGAAUAUUGCACAAUGGGCGGAAGCCUGAUGCAGCAACGCCGCGGUCGGGAUGACGGCCUUCGGGUUGUAAACCGCUUUCGCCUGUGACGAAGCGUUAGUGACGGUAAUGGGUAAAGAAGCACCGGCUAACUACGUG